UCUGAGCCAUCUCUCCAGCCCUUU
This 24-nucleotide non-coding RNA is filed under the name Cricetulus griseus (Chinese hamster). Lineage: Eukaryota; Metazoa; Chordata; Mammalia; Rodentia; Cricetidae. The record is from RNAcentral.